AUGUGUGUGGCCUGGUGGCCUCUUGGGCGGAGAGAUACCGGAGCGAUCUCAGGCCCAAAAAAGAAAACCGCUGUGUGUUGCUGGCAGGUGGACCCGCGUAUGGCUCGCUGGACCGUCUUGUUUCAGCCACCGCGCCUCACAAUCCUUUCCUCCCUGCCGCCGCGGAUGGCCGACGUGCUCGGCUCCCCCAUUCCGGCGGCACUUUUCCGAUGCCUCCUCCAGCGUGUGGCCAACGAACUAACUCUAGCCGACACCUCGCGACCUCCCACCGGCCUACAACACAUCUCGAGAUUGCCAGAGAGCUCGCUGGCCGUUGCAUGGAGGUCUGGAGGGACUUGGCCCUUGCACUCGACAUGUUCCCUUGCGACAUCGAGCAGCAGCUCGCUCAGGCAGUUCAUGAGUAGAAGCCACUUACAUGUUUGCUUGGAUUGCACAGGUAUUGGAAGCCUUGUCUUCCUCCACAGAACCGGACUGGGAGUGGUGGCUAGAUAUUUGCACCCAAGCACCCCCGUUGGGGGGAAGAGCAAGUUGGGGGAGGUCACAUUCAAAGGUGACUGGAUGAAGAGGCGCGCCCAUGUUGAUCUUGGAGACCAAAGUGGCCCGGCUCGUGGCGCGAGGAUCCUGAUCCACCUCUCUGACCGGCUGAAGGACUUGGCUGCGACGGUGCUGCUGAUGAUAGCGCCGCCACCAGCCCGAUGUACAUAUCAAGUUAGACUGGAACGAGCUGACGGCGAUCUGGGGGCCGAUGGUCGCCGUGAGGACGGCCCCCGAGGGCCGAGGGCGCACAGGGUGAAGGAAGGUCAACCUGAGAGUUUUUGCUUGGAAGAAGCUUGCUACCAAGAGGCCGAGAAAGAGGACCACGGCACUACCAGGAUACACACUACGUUUAGCAUGCAGUCCGCAGGUUCCCACUCACUCACAGACAUGACGAGACCCACCUACGCGCUCCUCCUUCACACCGUCGCGCUGCUCCUCCUCCUCCUGCUGCUGCCGGCGGCUACGACGGUGACCGCGGCGCCCUCGCAGACGCAGUCGCAGGCCGACGCUCUUCUGGCAUGGAAGGCCAGCCUCGGCCACCCAGCCGUGCUGUCCAGCUGGACCAACGCAACGCCGGUCUGCUCCUCUUGGCGCGGUGUGGCCUGCGACGCCGCCGGCCACGUCACGUCCCUCAGGCUCCGGGGGUUUGGAGUUGGACUCACAGGCACGCUCGACGCGCUGGACGCCGCGCGGCUGCGCUCCCUCGCCGCGCUCGACCUCGGCAGCAACUGGUUGAAUGGCUCCAUCCCGCCGCAGCUCGGCGACCUCUCGGGCCUCGUCGAACUCCGCCUCUACAACAACAACCUCGCCGGCGACAUUCCGCAUCAGCUCAGCAGGCUCCCCAGGAUCAUGCACCUCGACCUGGGCGCCAACUUCCUCACCAACCAGAAGGGCUACCGCAAGUUCUCGCCCAUGCCCACCGUCAACUUCCUCUCGCUCUACCUCAACUACCUCGACGGAGGCUUCCCGGAGUUCAUCCUCAAGAGCGGCAACAUCACCUACCUCGACCUGUCGCAGAACACUCUCUCUGGACCAAUACCAGACUCGCUGCCGGAGAACCUCCCCAACCUCAUGUACCUCAACUUGUCCAUCAAUGCCUUCUCCGGGCGGAUACCAACGUCGCUGUCGAAGCUGGAGAAGCUCCAGGACCUGCGGGUUAGCCACAACAAUCUGACGGGUGGAAUCCCCGAGUUCCUUGGUUCCAUGUCCCAGCUGAGGGGUCUUGAACUCGGCGGCAACCCGCUCGGCGGAUCGAUCCCGCCAGUUCUCGGCCGGCUCGAAAUGCUACAGCGCCUUGACAUCAUGAACGCCGGGUUGGUUUCCACUAUUCCACCCGAGUUGGGCAACCUUGGCAAUGUCAAUUCCAUGGAACUAGACAUGAACCAGCUCACCGGUGUCCUGCCGCCGGAGUUGUCCGGGAUGCGCCAGAUGCGUGAAUUUGGCACAUCAUCGAACAAACUCACCGGUCAGAUUCCACCGGCUUUAUUUACGAGCUGGCCAGAGCUCGUAUCAUUCCAAGUGCAGAACAACUCGUUUUCAGGGAGGAUCCCACCGGAGCUCGGCAAGGCAGCCAAGCUGAAAAUCCUGUAUCUCUUCAGCAACAAUCUUGUCGGCUCUAUCCCUGCAGAGCUGGGCGACCUAGUGAGCCUGAAUCACUUGGAUUUGUCGGUGAACUCUCUCACGGGACCGAUCCCCAGCUCGUUCGGGAAUCUCAAGCAGCUCCUGAGGUUGGCGCUCUUCUUCAACCGGCUCACCGGCACGAUCCCAAUGGAGAUUGGCAACAUGACAGCGUUGCAAGUCUUGGACAUCAACACCAAUAGUUUGGAAGGCGAGCUGCCCACCACCGUCACAUGGCUCAGUAAUCUCCAAUACCUUGCCCUGUUUGACAACAACUUCAAUGGCACCAUACCGCCGGACCUCGGGAAGGGGCUGAACUUAACUGACGUGGGUUUCGCGAACAACAGCUUCUCCGGUGAGCUGCCGCAGAGACUGUGUGAUGGCCUCACGCUGCAAAACUUCACGGCGAACCACAACAACUUCAGCGGCAGGCUGCCGCCCUGCUUGAAAAAUUGCACGGGGUUGUUCCGGGUGCGGCUGGAAGGCAACCAAUUCACUGGCAAUAUCUCAGAGAUGUUUGGCGUCCAUCCCAGCUUGGACUACUUGGAUGUCUCGGGGAAUCAGCUGACAGGGAACUUAUCAUCUGAUUGGUCACAAUGCACCAAUCUUACACUCUUAAACAUGAACGGUAAUCGAAUAUCUGGCAAUAUUGAUGCAACCUUCUGCGAAUUGAUCUCUCUCCAUUCUCUGGAUCUAUCAAAUAACCAAUUCACUGGGGAGCUCCCAAGUUGCUGGUGGAAACUCAAAAGUAUGUGGUUAAUGGAUUUGUCCAACAACGGUUUUUCAGGUGAACUUCCUAUAUCAACAAGCUUGGGCCUUGAACUCCAGUCACUUCGUCUUGCUAACAAUAGCUUUCUUGGAGUUUUUCCAUCUAUAAUUGAAACCUGCAGAGAUCUUGUCAUCCUAGAUCUUGGGAACUACAAGUUCUUCGGUGAUAUCCCCUCUUGGGUUGGAACGAGUGUUCCUCUUCUAACAGUUCUGAGCCUCCCAUCCAACAAUUUCAGUGGUGUUGUUCCACCCGAGUUAUCCCAACUUUCUUAUCUGCAAGUACUGGACCUGUCCAGCAACUCCUUCUCAGGUGAGAUCCUCACGGCCAUGCCAAACCACAAUUGCUCUCUCGAGUCAUUUCAUCUCGCCGGCAAUGGCUUCGUGGGUGCCUUCCCACCGUACCUACGAGGCUGCAACUCCCUGGCCACCCUGGACAUCGGGAACAACCGGUUCUUUGGUGGUAUCCCCACAUGGAUCGGGAAUCAGCUUCCAUCACUGAAAAUCCUUAGACUCGGAUCAAACAAUUUCACCGGAGAAAUCCCCACGGAGUUAUCAAGGCUUUCGCAACUUCAGCUGCUCGAUAUGGCCAACAAUAGCUUGAUAGGAUCAAUUCCAGUUGCCUUUGGCAACUUGACCUCCAUGAGGCAUAAUGUUCCCCCAUUGGUCCGACCGAGGCCAGUUUCCGCUCCUUUGCAGAUUAUGCCCAAUGGCCAAGGCCAACUGCGAGUGGAUGAGUUUCCAGCCAGAGUCAACAUAUCAUGGAAGGGCCGUGAGCAGACUUUUCAGAAAAGCAUCGGGUUAAUAACAGGUAUUGAUCUAUCAAGCAACCGACUUACAGAGAGCAUCCCUGAAGAGCUAACAUACCUCAAAGGUCUCCGGUUUCUGAACUUGUCCAGAAAUGAUCUAUCAGGCAGUAUUCCAGAAAAAACCGGAAGGUUGGAGCUCCUGGAUUUCCUUGACCUCUCAUGCAAUGAACUCUCAGGCACUAUUCCUCCUAGCAUUUCAAAUCUGCGUAAUCCAGGGCUCUGUGGCUUCCCGUUGUUGAACGUGUGUGAGCCUACAUUGGACCAAGGAGCUGAAGUCCACAAAGAACUGAGAGGAGACAUGUGGUUGUGGUACUCUGUAAUUCUUGGCAUUGUUUCCGGCUUCUGGCUUUGGUUUGGAGCUCUGUUCUUCCUGGAGCAGUGGAGGUCUUGUUUUCUCUGUUUUGUUGAUGGCUUAGGCAAGAAGAUACAUGCCAGACGUCAAUAA
Molecule: ribosomal RNA, 4173 nt
Filed under: Triticum aestivum (bread wheat)
Lineage: Eukaryota; Viridiplantae; Streptophyta; Magnoliopsida; Poales; Poaceae
Description: partial small subunit ribosomal RNA
Source: RNAcentral